UACAUUGUUCAUCCCACCAGGGAACAAGU
Molecule: small RNA, 29 nt
Filed under: Bombyx mori (domestic silkworm)
Lineage: Eukaryota; Metazoa; Arthropoda; Insecta; Lepidoptera; Bombycidae
Description: ovarian small RNA-20491
Source: RNAcentral